Molecule: ribosomal RNA, 429 nt
Filed under: Acidobacteriota bacterium
Lineage: Bacteria; Pseudomonadati; Acidobacteriota
Description: Acidobacteria bacterium partial 16S ribosomal RNA
Rfam family: Bacterial small subunit ribosomal RNA
Source: RNAcentral
UGGGGAAUUUUGGACAAUGGGGGAAACCCUGAUCCAGCCAUCCCGCGUGUGCGAUGAAGGCCUUCGGGUUGUAAAGCACUUUUGGCAGGAAAGAAACGUCAUGGGUUAAUACCCCGUGAAACUGACGGUACCUGCAGAAUAAGCACCGGCUAACUACGUGCCAGCAGCCGCGGUAAUACGUAGGGUGCAAGCGUUAAUCGGAAUUACUGGGCGUAAAGCGUGCGCAGGCGGUUCGGAAAGAAAGAUGUGAAAUCCCAGAGCACAACUUUAGAACUGCAUUUUUAACUACCGGGCUAGAGUGUGUCAGAGGGAGGUGGAAUUCGGCGUGUAGCAGUGAAAGGCAUAGAUAUGCGGAGGAACACCGAUGGCGAAGGCAGCCUCCUGGGAUAACACUGACGCUCAUGCAAGAAAGCGUGGGGAGCAAACAGG